This is a long non-coding RNA of Humulus lupulus (European hop), 726 nucleotides long. RefSeq lists it as uncharacterized. Lineage: Eukaryota; Viridiplantae; Streptophyta; Magnoliopsida; Rosales; Cannabaceae. The transcript has 2 exons. The record is from RefSeq and is a predicted model, not a curated record.
UUAUAGUAUGUAAAAAUAUCAUAUUUUGAUGAUUUUAUCAUAAAAUUAAGCCCAAUCCAAAUUCCAAUUGCAGCCCAUUAAAAAGGCCCUAGGUUUUCAUCUAAUCACUUCCUUCCCUCCUUCCCUCUUGGUUCGUUCAAACAUUCAGUCACUACUCUUACACUCUCUCUCUCUCUCUCUCUUAGAUGCACGGCGGCAGCAGAGCAGCAACAACUCUUUCUCUCUCACUCUUCUCUUUGAUGCAUGGUAGCAGCAGGCACGGCAGGGCAGUUCUCUCACUCUUUCUUCUUUUUGAUGCACGGUAGCAGCAGGCACGGCAAGGCAGUUCUCUCUCGCUCUUCUCUUUGAUUCACGGCACGGCGGGGCUGGGCAGCUCCAUCUCCCUCUCUUCUCUUAGACGCACGGAACGGAAGCAAGGCAUUAUGUUGGCUAAUACAGCUGUAAAUCUAAAUGAAGCACAAAAUGAUUUAUUAGCUAUUCUAACACAUUCUGAAAGUGUUGAUGAUGCUAGUAAUACUAUUACGGGAGAAAGUACAACAAGCACGGCCAAGCGAAAGAAAAGACAGACAUGUGCUUGAUUUGUAUUUUCUUUGUUUGUACCUUGUUGAAGUGAACUUAUGAUUGCACUCUUUUUCUUUACCAAGAUUUUAUUUCUUAAACUUUUUCUUGGUAAAGUUUUUAAUGAGGCAAUGUUUAUUUUUAAAUUUGGAAUUUUUAUUGUGUUAA